UUAUCCAGUCAAUUGAGCACUAAUUCUGAUUAGCAAAGACGACCUGUCACAUUCACCCAGUUGGACAUUCAUACCUGGAAGCUGCCCGGUACAACCACAGUGUGAUCUGCUGCCACUGGGCAGCUCCACUGGAGGGGUUGGGGUUAAGGGCCUCAGAGGUGCUCAAGGGCACCUCAGUGCGUGGUGA
Etheostoma cragini (Arkansas darter) is the source of this 187-nucleotide long non-coding RNA. RefSeq lists it as uncharacterized. The record is from RefSeq and is a predicted model, not a curated record. NCBI's taxonomy places the organism in Eukaryota, Metazoa, Chordata, Actinopteri, Perciformes, Percidae. The transcript is spliced from 4 exons.